RNAcentral lists this ribosomal RNA (253 nucleotides) under uncultured bacterium. RNAcentral's name for it is "partial 16S ribosomal RNA". It matches the Rfam family "Bacterial small subunit ribosomal RNA", at positions 524 to 776 of the family's 1533-position model. The record is from RNAcentral.
UACGGAGGGAGCUAGCGUUGUUCGGAAUUACUGGGCGUAAAGCGCACGUAGGCGGCGAUUCAAGUCAGAGGUGAAAGCCCGGGGCUCAACUCCGGAACUGCCUUUGAAACUAGAUUGCUAGAAUCUUGGAGAGGCGAGUGGAAUUCCGAGUGUAGAGGUGAAAUUCGUAGAUAUUCGGAAGAACACCAGUGGCGAAGGCGACUCGCUGGACAAGUAUUGACGCUGAGGUGCGAAAGCGUGGGGAGCAAACAGG